GAAACUGCGUGGAGAUGUUUAUCCAGGUUCCUGAAUUUUCAUCUGAAUUGCAUUUUCUUCAAAGAGAUGAAUUAUUCUAGGAAAAUUUUCAUGCUUUAAAGUGGAAAAGGGAUUUGAAUCAAACUGACCUCCACCUUCACCCACUUGCUUGCUCCCUUCCACUGUUACUUUUUUUUUUCUUAGUUCUGAAAGCUUCACAGUG
RNAcentral lists this long non-coding RNA (202 nucleotides) under Fukomys damarensis (Damara mole-rat). Its description in RNAcentral is "lncRNA (ENSFDAG00000030090.1)". The record is from RNAcentral. Lineage: Eukaryota; Metazoa; Chordata; Mammalia; Rodentia; Bathyergidae.